This 583-nucleotide long non-coding RNA is filed under the name Sus scrofa (pig). RNAcentral's name for it is "lncRNA (ENSSSCG00015032526.1)". Lineage: Eukaryota; Metazoa; Chordata; Mammalia; Artiodactyla; Suidae. The record is from RNAcentral.
GCAGACGCCUGUAGCUUAGCUGCACCUGUGCAGAGUGCCAAUCGCAGCCUCACGACCCCCAGGCAUCAGGCUGCCUGGAUGUUUUACUCCGUAACUAUCUGGAGCCUUUCCCUCCCAGGAGAACCUGGUCUCUCUCCUCACUUGGCUGCACUACACUAAGACCCCACCAGGUGGAAGGUGUUAACUGCAUACUGACCAUCAGCCCGUAGAGGCCAGACCAGCUGGAACCCAGAGCUGAUGACUGAGAUUCUCAAAUCAUCCCGCCAGCUCAUCAUCAACCAGAAAAAAUCAUCCGUGGAGGAAUCCCUCAGCCAUCCCGCACCACUGAGUGGUAAACUGGGAACCUCCCUGUGAAACCAAGGCUCAAUGGUAGCCCUACCUGGAACGGCAGUGUACUCUCCAUGUUGCUGCAAAUGGCUUUGUUCUGGUUGAGCCGUAUUGUGUGUAAAUGCACCACACCUUUAUCCAGGUCAGUGGACAUUUAGGUCGUUUCCAUGUCUUGGCUAUUGCAAAUAGUGCUGCUGUGAACACAGGGGUGCGUGCAUUUUUUUUUUUUUUUUUGGAUUACUGGUUUCUCCAGAGA